CUGGCUCAGAUUGAACGCUGGCGGCAGGCCUAACACAUGCAAGUCGAACGGUAGCACAGAGAGCUUGCUCUCGGGUGACGAGUGGCGGACGGGUGAGUAAUGUCUGGGAAACUGCCCGAUGGAGGGGGAUAACUACUGGAAACGGUAGCUAAUACCGCAUAACGUCUUCGGACCAAAGUGGGGGACCUUCGGGCCUCACACCAUCGGAUGUGCCCAGAUGGGAUUAGCUAGUAGGUGGGGUAAUGGCUCACCUAGGCGACGAUCCCUAGCUGGUCUGAGAGGAUGACCAGCCACACUGGAACUGAGACACGGUCCAGACUCCUACGGGAGGCAGCAGUGGGGAAUAUUGCACAAUGGGCGCAAGCCUGAUGCAGCCAUGCCGCGUGUAUGAAGAAGGCCUUCGGGUU
RNAcentral lists this ribosomal RNA (407 nucleotides) under Erwinia sp. AE_74. RNAcentral's name for it is "bacterial SSU rRNA". It matches the Rfam family "Bacterial small subunit ribosomal RNA", at positions 19 to 424 of the family's 1533-position model. Lineage: Bacteria; Pseudomonadati; Pseudomonadota; Gammaproteobacteria; Enterobacterales; Erwiniaceae. RNAcentral also lists the same sequence under 1 other name. The record is from RNAcentral.